GGCAGACUCCUGUGCUAACAGGUUAGAUGGAGGUUUCCAAUGGUGCCUGCCAGCAUGUCUGUGAGCAUGGCUGAAUUAGAUCACAAUAAUGGCUGCUGCCAAUGUCACAGUUCCUGGGGGCCCACCCACCUCCUGCCUCCCCAGGGAUCAUUUAAGAAAAUGAACUCAUAAUAACAUAUGGUAGCUGACUUCAGUAUGGAUUUUCCACUGCAUUGAUCAACUCAGUGAAAUUCUCUUACAUAAAUACAAAUGUUCACAAGACAAAGAUAUCCGUCCAGCAUGGAUGUUGUUCAGAAAGAGGAAAGGAAAAUCCUGCUUUCCACUUGGUGUCGGCUGUAUGCACUUCUCUCAGUCCUCUUGGACGCCGUUGGAUCGCAAUCCAUAGCAUAUUUUACAAAUGAAGAGCAUACGUAAAGAGAGAAGUCUAACAGAUGGCUCCGGGAAAUGCGUAAUAAAUGAAAAGAAACAACAGUGCGCCUUACUAAAACUGAGCAAAGCAGCCUUGGAGGGUGUUGCUGUUUGCCGCAGUCUGAGGACCUGAAGCACAGCUCUUUGCAGCAGACGGAUGGAGUGAUAAAUGGCUGAGCAAAUGCAAAGGCCAUGGGAGAAAUACUCUGAACGUUCUCAUGAGAUAUAUUGUAUUUUAGUUUUUUAGACCUUUCUUAAGUCUAAGGAAUGAAAAAUAUAAUACGCCACAGUCACCAACACAUUUAAAAGACAAGAAAUCGUGUCUAACAAAACAAUUUUUAAAAUGCUGUAGAUCCUUUUGAAGGAAACAGCACUGAACCCAGUUGAAGGUGAAGAUGAUAGAUGUAUGACAUUAGAUUUUUGGCAUUGAAAUUAAGGAAUACAAUAAAAUCAAUAUUGAGAAAUGAUAAGAAAGCAAAGGACAGACAAAGGCCAGAACCUCCUAAACAAUUUUCGUCAAAGC
RNAcentral lists this long non-coding RNA (931 nucleotides) under Equus caballus (horse). Its description in RNAcentral is "lncRNA (ENSECAG00000035272.3)". The record is from RNAcentral. Lineage: Eukaryota; Metazoa; Chordata; Mammalia; Perissodactyla; Equidae.